GUCGGGAUAGCUCAGCUGGUAGAGCAAAGGACUGAAAA
Molecule: transfer RNA, 38 nt
Filed under: Impatiens leptocaulon
Lineage: Eukaryota; Viridiplantae; Streptophyta; Magnoliopsida; Ericales; Balsaminaceae
Also listed under: 1 other name
Description: partial tRNA-Phe
Source: RNAcentral